GACGUAGGGCGCGAGCGUUGUCCGGAUUUAUUGGGCGUAAAGAGCUCGUAGGCGGCUCGUUGCGUCGGCUGUGAAAACCCGCAGCUCAACUGUGGGCUUGCAGCUGAUACGGGCGGGCUGGGAUUCGGUAGGGGAGACUGGAAUUCCUGGUGUAGCGGUGAAAUGCGCAGAUAUCAGGAGGACCACCCGUGGCUAAGGCGGCUCUCUAGUACGGUACUGACGCUGAGACGCGAAAGCGUGGGGAGCGAACAGG
This 253-nucleotide ribosomal RNA is filed under the name uncultured bacterium. RNAcentral's name for it is "partial 16S ribosomal RNA". It matches the Rfam family "Bacterial small subunit ribosomal RNA", at positions 524 to 776 of the family's 1533-position model. The record is from RNAcentral.